CACACACACAUUGACCUUCCCAUGACCCGACACAGACCGCAGCGACACACAGUUGAAGGCACACCCUUGUGUGGCUACCAGGAACGUGUGUGUGUGUGUGUGUGUGUGUGUGUGUGUGUGUGUGUGUGUGUGCAAGCGCCAAGGAUGAACGAGCUGUGCAGGGACGAAAUCAACUUUAAGCCGUCCCUGGAAUCUCAAUGUUUUGACGUUUAGGACAGAGAGAGUGUGUGUGUGUUGACUUGUAGAACUGUGUGUGUGUGUGUGUGAGAGAGUGUGAGAGUGUGUGUGUGUGUGUGUGUGUCAUGCUGUCUUGGCCCAGACGGGUAAGGGUAGGCUGGGUACAGUCAGCUUGAUGGCAGAGUAAACACUGGCCCUGCAGACACACACACACACACACACUCACACAGAGGCAUGCAUGCGCUAGUGUGUGUUUGGAGUUUGAACUCAGAGGCACAGGGUACAGGAGUCUCCGCAUACAUCAUCUCCAACAUUAAACAUGCCAGCAGGAGCCUACACUCUGUCCCUGAUCAGAGCCCUACACACUGUCCCUGAUCUGACACCACGUCUGCUCUCUGUUAAAUGUGUGUGUGUGAGAGAGAGAGACAGAGAGGGGGAAGUGAGAGUGGGAGGGGUGUGAGAAAUUGAAGAAGUACAAGAAAAGAAAGACUUAUUGAUGAAGAAAAAAAAAAUGCUUUAAAAAAACGAAACAAAAAAAAAACAUGCUAUUUUGUAUGAUUGGUACUGCCAUCUAGGCCUUCAUCUGCCACGCAGUGAUGAUUUGCUCUGCUUUCUGUUGUCUGUAUAUACUGGCAAGGCUUGAUUGACACAUCCAUCAUUCUUAAUGUCUAAUUGCACUAGAAUCAUAUAGAGCUUUGCUGAAGAAGUCUUGAUGUUGACUCAGGUAAUUACUGUAAAAUCCUAAAGGGCAGCUUUAGCAGGAGUGGGCAGGGGGGCAUUCAAAUGUAACCAGAAGAAGGCAAACUUUUAUAUACAUCUAAAACAAACAUAUAUAUCUCUCUCACACACGCACACACACAUUGAACUCCAAGGAGAACCUUCUAAGGGGUUUCCUGUAGGGAUAAGCCCAGCUAUUAGUGAGGUAUUAAAACAGAAUCACUGAUGUCCGUAUAUGCUUUAAAGUAGUGCAUACGGCCUCCUCCAGCCAGUAGAACACACGAUAGGCAGUCAAGAAAGUAUUGCACAGACAGAUCGUGUGUCUCCUCUGUGCUGUGUGGUGUGGAUUCCAGAGAAUCAGUGAUUUUAAAGACUCCAACCAGAUUCAGCCAUAGGGGCUGGCCUGGUAUCUGCAGCAAUAACACAUCGCACCUAUACUUAUAUACACGACAGUCCAUUUACUAAGUGGUAGCGUGUGAGUUUAUAUACAUUGAGGUCCAACAGUUGAAGUGCGAAGAGGCUUGUUUUUCUCUAGUGGAGCAACAUAGUGGAGAAGUGUUGGGUGUGCAGGUGAUCCCGGUAAUGCUGGGGGAAGCAUUUCAGGUUACCUGAUGAGCCUUUGAAUGCUUGAUCUCACCUGUUGUGCAAUUCAGAUACAAGUUGUUUUGUUGCACUCAGCAGGUGCAAGUGACUGUUUGGAAGAGGGUGUUAUGAUUUUGAUGUUCAGUUGACAAGGUUUUAAUUUGGUGCAUCUUGGCUGGUGAGUGUUCAGCUGUGUGUGUGUGUGUGUGUCUCCAGCUCAUAUCAUUUCAGGACAGCCUAGUGGCACAUCCAUCAUACAGUUAAUGUUUGCAUCAUAAGCUACUGUACUCAAUGUCACUUCUAGGAGCUUCUAGUGUAAAUGCACUAUGGCGAGAGUGUUUGGUGCAAGAGAGAGAGAGAGAGAGUGUGUGUGUGUGUGUGUGUAUGGGGGUCGGGGUGGGGUGGAACAGAGACACUCUCCAGCUAUAGAAGUGUGUAUUAUUAACUGUUCUUGUUAAGAAUAUUUAUGCCAUUUUUGAAAUUGUUGUCUAUAUUCCUGAAAAAAAGCAAAAACACAGUGUAAUAUGUAUUUAUUUAUUGAAUUAUACUGCUGACAAGUUUCGAUGCUACUGGGGAAAGGACCCAGCUGAGUAAUUAUUAAUGGCUAAGAACAUUUAGAGAAAUGAAAUGACUGUAGAUGUUUACUCAAAUCAGUAGAGAUGUAAAGAUAUGCAAGCUUUUCAUUUUUUGCAAUGAAUAAUAUUUUACUUUCUUGUAAAUAUUGCACUAGAAUAUAGCCCUAGCAGCUGGGAGAUGUUCAAUAAAAGUGGACCGAUCUUUGUUUGAUGUUCAUG
Long non-coding RNA from Clupea harengus (Atlantic herring), 2270 nucleotides. NCBI's taxonomy places the organism in Eukaryota, Metazoa, Chordata, Actinopteri, Clupeiformes, Clupeidae. The record is from Ensembl.